CUCUGUAAAGGGGCUGAACACUUACUGUGACAAGGGAAACUUGAGGCUAACGUAGCAGGCCUAUGUUUCACUCUUCAGAUCCGGGGAAUGAAACCUACAAAAGGGGACUUCACUCGGCCUUUGAAAAGUCACAACAAGAAUCUGGCUGCAAAGAACCACAAAACUCUACUGACCUCUAAACAUUUAUGAGCAGGAGUGAAGGAUGUAAACAGGCCAUGGACGUCUCCUCUUAAAACCACAGCAAUGGCACUUUGUCAGGAUAAACAGAUUAAUUGAAUUCCAGAGGGGAAAAUUUCUUUUGAUGUGUGCAAAUUGAUUUCAACAAAGUGAGCUCCUCUGACAUGCUGAUGUUCCUCCAGGGUCCUUCCGUGACACCAUAGGGCUCAGGGACUUUGGUUUCCUUGCCACUGCUGUGAAACUCCAUUCAGAUGAUGAAACUGCAGUGCAGCUGUGUCUGCAGCUCACGCGCCAGCCACUUGUCUUCCACAGCAGAGCUCAGCUGGUCCAAUUCCCCUGAACAGAUCCAAGACUUCCACUGUGUUCAGCUGCCAGGACGAUGGAGGUCUUCCAAUUUGACGCCUCUCCUUACUAGAACUCGCCUCUGGGCAGGUGUAUAAAAAAGCAAAAAGUCAGCAGUGUAAACGUGGAGAAGGAAGCACAUUUAAACAGAUUAGCAGCCAUGCCUGUGUUCAAAGCUCUGACACUUAAUGCUGCAAGAAUGAGAGGUGACGUGUGAUAUGAAUCGUAAAAAGAUAUGCUUUUGGAUGUUCAAACGGUUAUGGAAAUAUCUGCAAGCAUUAAGGAUUAUGGGUGUGCAAAGGGAGGCAACAAGCAUGUCAGUAUAGCUAUUUCUGUCCUCAAUGACUGGCUGCCAAAUACAUUUUUUUCAGCAUUUGAUAAACUCCUACAUCAAUAUAAAGUCUAGUGUGUUUCUAUGGAAACUUAGACCUCCGAGAAGGUUGGAAUUUGCCUCUUAGCUCAA
Notolabrus celidotus (New Zealand spotty) is the source of this 982-nucleotide long non-coding RNA. RefSeq lists it as uncharacterized. NCBI's taxonomy places the organism in Eukaryota, Metazoa, Chordata, Actinopteri, Labriformes, Labridae. The transcript has 3 exons. The record is from RefSeq and is a predicted model, not a curated record.